UACGAAGGGUGCUAGCGUUGUUCGGAUUUACUGGGCGUAAAGCGCACGUAGGCGGACUAUUAAGUCAGGGGUGAAAUCCCGGGGCUCAACCCCGGAACUGCCUUUGAUACUGGUAGUCUUGAGUUCGAGAGAGGUGAGUGGAAUUCCGAGUGUAGAGGUGAAAUUCGUAGAUAUUCGGAGGAACACCAGUGGCGAAGGCGGCUCACUGGCUCGAUACUGACGCUGAGGUGCGAAAGCGUGGGGAGCAAACAGG
RNAcentral lists this ribosomal RNA (253 nucleotides) under uncultured bacterium. Its description in RNAcentral is "partial 16S ribosomal RNA". It matches the Rfam family "Bacterial small subunit ribosomal RNA", at positions 524 to 776 of the family's 1533-position model. The record is from RNAcentral.